This 484-nucleotide ribosomal RNA is filed under the name uncultured bacterium. RNAcentral's name for it is "partial 16S ribosomal RNA". It matches the Rfam family "Bacterial small subunit ribosomal RNA", at positions 30 to 507 of the family's 1533-position model. The record is from RNAcentral.
AUUGAACGCUGGCGGCAGGCCUAACACAUGCAAGUCGAGCGGAUGAAGGGAGCUUGCUCCUGGAUUCAGCGGCGGACGGGUGAGUAAUGCCUAGGAAUCUGCCUGGUAGUGGGGGAUAACGUCCGGAAACGGGCGCGAAUACCGCAUACGUCCAGAGGGAGAAAGGGGGGGAUCUUCGGACCUCACGCGAUCAGAUGAGCCUAGGUCGGAUUAGCUAGUUGGUGGGGUAAAGGCCUACCAAGGCGACGAUCCGUAACUGGUCUGAGAGGAUGAUCAGUCACACUGGAACUGAGACACGGUCCAGACUCCUACGGGAGGCAGCAGUGGGGAAUCUUGGACAAUGGGCGAAAGCCUGAUCCAGCCAUGCCGCGUGUGUGAAGAAGGUCUUCGGAUUGUAAAGCACUUUAAGUUGGGAGGAAGGGCAGUAAGUUAAUCCCUUGCUGUUUUGACGUUACCAACAGAAUAAGCACCGGCUAACUUCGUG